This 1782-nucleotide long non-coding RNA is filed under the name Macaca mulatta (Rhesus monkey). Its description in RNAcentral is "lncRNA (ENSMMUG00000050405.1)". The record is from RNAcentral. Lineage: Eukaryota; Metazoa; Chordata; Mammalia; Primates; Cercopithecidae.
UGGGACUACAGGCAUGAGCCAUCACACCCAGCUAGUUUUUUGUAUUUUUAGUAGAGACGGGGUUUUGCCAUGUUGGCCAGGCUGAUCUCGAAGUCCUGACCUCAAGUGGUCUGCCCGCCUCUGUUCCCCAAAGUGCUGGGAUUCCAGGUGUGAGCCACCAUGGCCGACCACAUUUGAUGUUUGAAGUUGUAAUCUGUCCCAUCAUAAACUUACCUGGAGCUCAUGUGGAGGAACAGAAGGCCAAGGUCCUUGCUUUGGGAGUGCCUCACAAAGCAUCCCUGUGGACACAUGGCCCCAGCUUCACUGCUUGGAAGCAAGUCUCUCCCUCCUGAGUUGGCUCUGAUUUGAAACCAGGAGAAACAGAGCUGCUGCCAAUGGGAUCUUUUAGGUAACCCCCUCUCCAGCUUCCAUGUGUCUGUGCAGUGCCCAUGAGUUGCUGCCAGUGGGAUCUCUUAGGUACCCCCGCCCCCCAGCUUCCCUGUGGCUGUGUAGAUGUCCUCUCACCCACCCUGUGCUGGUGUCUAAAAAAUUUAUCUUGUCAUGCUCAAAUGUGUUUGGCAGCCACACUGAUCGGCUGGGUGCUGAACCACCGCUCUGUAAUUGUAGCAUCAAAAUGACAACAGCAGCAGAGCGGCAAAUCUUGCCCAGCCCCACAGCAUGCCUGAGACAAGACUCCAACAAGUAAUAAUUAACUUUUUUCUCCUGCCGCCUACAGUACCUGUCUAACUAAAGAGCUUCCCAAAGUGGAGGGAAAGGCCAUAGAGAGAAUCCAGGUGUUAUUCAGAGUCAGUCCUUGCUGAAAUGUGGUCUUCCAGUGGAAGCACCUGUAUUCUUGGGAGGAAAAAGUGCUGGAUGCAAAGUAACACCAGGACCAGAGAGAAAGAGGAAGGUGAACUAUCCUAAGGAGCUUUGGAUACUUUUUUAGAAGGAUAAAUAUUGUGCUUACUGAGGAGAAAAAAAAAAAACCAAUCACAGAAAAAUUUCACAGCUAAUAUUUUUACAAAAGUUGUGCCGGAAUUACAAAAUGUCUCUCAAGGUGGAAUGCUUUAGAGAACAAAGGCUUAGCACAGGCCCAGACCCUUGUGUGGGUAUGACAUGAUGUGACAUGUACAUGUCAAAAUUCGCUUUAGUAUAGUCAGAACCAGAGUACUGAUAAACAAAAUGUUAGUUACCUGGAGCAGUCCUGGAGAGGCUAAGACAUCCUAUACUGUUGUACAUCAACCAUUUCUACAAAGUUAUCCAGACACCUAAAAGCAGCUUUCUUGGUUAUCCAGAUCCAGUUUCUUGGUUAUGCCAGAAUCAGCCUUGUAUCUGACAAUGCACAUCUGUUGAUUUUAAAGUAUAUUUGUGUGUGUGUAUAUACAGCACAUAUUUACAUCUAUGAAGACACAGACACUCAUAGAGACCCACAUGAGCUGCCACUUGCUGAGCCUUUACAGCCUUUAAGACUUGGAGGUUGAGAAUUAGAGACAGAAGAGAGGCUGUUGAUGGCCUAUUAAAAUGAUCAAAGAUGUAAAUUCAGUGCCAUUUAAAAACUGUUCAUACUUAUCAAAUGAUUAUCUGCAGCUACAUUCUUUGUUAACUUAUUUAAAGUCAUGUUGCAAAAAAGGUCAAACCCAUGAAUGCUUAGUAGCUAAGGCUAGUGUUCAGAAGCACUCUAAAAGACAUUUUGUCCACAUUUUGGAAAAGAAAAUAUUUGCAUGUUUAAUCAUAAUUUAGACUACCUUUGAGUAUACUGUAAAGUGCUGUGUGAUAUAAUAUCAAUAAAGUACUUAUUAAAUG